ACUCAUAAACUCUCUCUCUCUCUCUCUCUCUCUCUCUCUCUCUCUCUCUCUCUCUCUCUGUGUGUGUGUGUGUGUGUGAGAGAGAGAGAGAGAGAGAGAGAGAGAGAGACAGACAGACAGACAGACAGA
RNAcentral lists this microRNA precursor (129 nucleotides) under Marmota monax (woodchuck). Lineage: Eukaryota; Metazoa; Chordata; Mammalia; Rodentia; Sciuridae. The record is from RNAcentral.